AACAGUUGUUGGACUUCUGCUCUUCUUUUCUGCGCUGUUUGUGAAACAGCAGCAUUUAGAGUGUCGUUCUGUGACACUGACUCUAGAAAAGAGAUAGAAAGAGAAGGGGAAGAGAGGGAGAGAGAGAAGCAGGAAAAGAGAGAGGAGAGGAAAUCGUUGUUGGUCUCGGGGCAGUGGAGCAGUGAUGCGGCGGGAAGCACCGGUAUUCAGACGAGAGAGCUACGGCUCUCCAGGACAUGACAAGAGCAAAAUCCAUCAGGUGGCUCGUGGAAUUUGCCCUAAUUGGUUUUUACAAUCAUACCUUAUUUAAUAUAAUUGGACUGUCAUAUAAGCGUUAUCCUGGCUGUUAUGCUGGGCUAUUUUUACCCUGUUUAUUGUAAGUCAAUUCAGUUCCUGGAAGAUCCCUUUAAUGCCCCGACUUGCAUGUCCAAUAUUAUUAGGUGCUAUGAGUUCAGCUUGUGCAAAUCGCUUAAUGCAUAAGUCGGUAAGAGGCUCUGUUCUGGCAGGUCAGACUGAAGGUACAGCAGAUUAAUAUUUGAUCAUGCAGGAGGGUCUGUAAUCACAGCUGAUUGAUCCUUCAGCUGAGUGCCCUGGCAAUUAGCAUAAUUGUUGCCCACCCUACCGGCUUCUCUCUUUCGCAUGUGUCCCUCGCUCAACCCCUAGUGUGGGCUGCAGGUUGAGUGUCUGUGGGACUGGAAUUCCUGUACAAUACUGUGUGUGUGUUUGUGUGUGUGUGUGUGUGUCAUUGAGUGAAUAAUGGGAGAGAGGUUGGAUGAGGAUCAUCAGAGCUGAAGUUUCCCUCUCUUGGACAGCGUUGUGUGUGUGUGUGUUUGUGUCUACAGGGGCAGUGGGACGCGGUUUGCUUGUGUUAGUGUUUCCGAGGACACACACAUGCUGUAUUUUGGCAGUGUUCAGAGUUAAUCCCCACUCAGCCACGCUCCACGCUCACACUCACGCUGCGAGACGGUAAAUGUAACACAAAAACACGCAGGAAAAAAACAGGACGGUGUCUAUUAACACAAGACUCUUUUAUCAAGAAUUCAUGGGUCUCUUUUUCUCCUUGGUGUACUUCCAAACACUAUGCUUUUCAAAUGAUUUUACUAACUGAUGCCCCCUUGCUUUAUGAUCCAUAACCUGUAAUAAUAAAGCUUGUAUAUUAUUUUAGAAAUGA
Long non-coding RNA from Carassius gibelio (silver crucian carp), 1171 nucleotides. RefSeq lists it as uncharacterized. The transcript is spliced from 2 exons. NCBI's taxonomy places the organism in Eukaryota, Metazoa, Chordata, Actinopteri, Cypriniformes, Cyprinidae. The record is from RefSeq and is a predicted model, not a curated record.